Molecule: long non-coding RNA, 1282 nt
Filed under: Gallus gallus (chicken)
Lineage: Eukaryota; Metazoa; Chordata; Aves; Galliformes; Phasianidae
Description: long non-coding RNA NONGGAT003825
Source: RNAcentral
AAGAAUUUGCAAAACACCAGCAUGCAAGCAAAGGAACUGAGCAUCAUUGAGACUAUGUGUGCAGUAGAGAUCCAAAGAGCUUUGGGUUUUUCAAAGAAACGAGAGUCGGGGGCCCCUGAGAAGUGUACGCAUGCCAUGAAUGCCCCUUCUGUUUGUCAGCUCUGCAGCAGUGUCAAAGAAGCUCCUAUCUCUGACAGGCAGACCUGACAGACAGCAUUGUUCAUUCGGUUUUUAUUCAAUAUAAGGGUCACAGAUCCCAGUGUCAGGAUAAAGUAAGACUAAGUAAGUGUCUGAUUGAUCCUGCACUUCUAGGACAUGGCAGUCUGUGAUGUGGGUACUAGAUGUAAUUCAGAUUUUGCAAGCAUGGGAUAAAGACUCUGAAAUGAAGUUGAAAGAUAGGAAUUGUUUGUUAGGGUGGAGGCAAGCCACAGUAAGGAUUUAAAUCUAUUUCUACAUAUAAAAUAUGUGGCCUGCAUACAGUUCCUAAUUUUCAUUUUUAUUUUCUAUGACAUCUUGCCAAGUUGAGGGAACAGUAGUGAGACAAACUGAUGCCAUAGAGCCUGUGAAAAAAGGAAGGUCAUUUUACUUUUCAGGAGUGAAAAGUGCAGGAAGGCUAGGGGAGGCAGAAAAUGACUCAAUUUAACUAUGGUGCUUUCUGGUUGUGCGGACAUCAUUCGGAAACAUCACCACAAUGAAAUAUAGGUCUUUGUUCUCUGUCUGUGAAGGAAUUCUGUCUUCCCUGAAGAUGGAGGCAAAAUUCAAGAGGUACUGGACUGCACCUGAGGAUUGCUUUGUCUACAGCAAAAGCAUGAGCAAAUGAUGUCCAGGAUCUGUGUCUCUCCUUACACCAUCAAGACUGCAGGGACACUGGGGCCAGCUGGCAUUUGCUAAAGCUACAUGAAACGCAAAUGGAUAUACAGAAGAAUGCUUUCAUUUGUAGUUACGUCAAGUGGAGAUGUAACACUAGAAACAUAAGGAUGUUUGUUGAUGCAAGGACCACCAGGCACUGAGCACUGGAAUUUUGCUCAAAGGAAGCAAGCCAGAUGGGAAGAGAAAAGAAAUCCCCAGCUUUCAAGUGUCACAUCAUCACAGGCAAUAAGUCCAUGAGUGUUGUAGAUGACUGGAAUAAUCCUCUGCAUGGGAAGUCUCCUAAGGAAAAGGGAUUUCACUUGGUACUAUUAUAGUUGCCUUGGUUUAAAGCAGAGAUGAAUUCAGGACUGUAAAUUUUAUGCUAAUGGUCUUUGUCCUCCAGUCAAUACAGAAGGAACAGAUUGGAUUAUCA